This 113-nucleotide Y RNA is filed under the name Propithecus coquereli (Coquerel's sifaka). RNAcentral describes it as "Y RNA (ENSPCOG00000010204.1)". It matches the Rfam family "Y RNA". Rfam says of the family: Y RNAs are components of the Ro ribonucleoprotein particle (Ro RNP), in association with Ro60 and La proteins. Lineage: Eukaryota; Metazoa; Chordata; Mammalia; Primates; Indriidae. The record is from Rfam by way of RNAcentral.
GGCUAGUCCAAAGGUAGUGAGUUACCUCAAUUGAUUGUUCACAGUCAGUUACAAAUCAAAUUGCUUGUUCUACUUUCUCUCCCCUUCUCACUAUUGCCCUUGAUUAGUUUUUU